This 258-nucleotide ribosomal RNA is filed under the name uncultured bacterium. RNAcentral describes it as "partial 16S ribosomal RNA". It matches the Rfam family "Bacterial small subunit ribosomal RNA", at positions 355 to 604 of the family's 1533-position model. The record is from RNAcentral.
UAGGGAAUCUUCGGCAAUGGGGGCAACCCUGACCGAGCAACGCCGCGUGAGUGAAGAAGGUUUUCGGAUCGUAAAGCUCUGUUGUAAGUCAAGAACGGGUGUGAGAGUGGAAAGUUCACACUGUGACGGUAGCUUACCAGAAAGGGACGGCUAACUACGUGCCAGCAGCCGCGGUAAUACGUAGGUCCCGAGCGUUGUCCGGAUUUAUUGGGCGUAAAGCGAGCGCAGGCGGUUUGAUAAGUCUGAAGUUAAAGGCUG